RNAcentral lists this long non-coding RNA (1644 nucleotides) under Equus caballus (horse). RNAcentral's name for it is "lncRNA (ENSECAG00000046782.1)". The record is from RNAcentral. Lineage: Eukaryota; Metazoa; Chordata; Mammalia; Perissodactyla; Equidae.
GGCAGAUAAGCCUUUUCCUCAGGCUCUGCUUUCUGGCAAACCCAAGCUAAGACAGGUGUUACUGAGUGGUACCCUCUUCUGGUUGUUACCAUAAUCUCAGAACAUAUUCCGUGUACUCAUGCGCACAGUCAUUUAGAAGGUUGGUAGAAGCAGGGAAGCUGUGGAGUGGCUUCAGACAUUAAUUUAGAUUGUCCUUGGUAAUUCUUUGGGGCCCAAAGAAUAUAGAGAAUUAUUAAAGGUAAACCUAUAAUCUAGGAGAAAAGCUAUAUGAAUUUAUAGAAUAGGGCACCAUAAUGGGGCAUAUGUUUUAGAAAAAUUACCCUGAGAUAAAUGAUUUAAGAGCUCAUAUUUAGAAAUUCUUAAUUAAAGACAGAAAGUUCAUUUCGUGGAAUGCUUAGGAGGAGAUAAUCAUCAUGGUAUGCGUGGAUUCCAGAGAAAUUAGGAUUUGAUUGGUUAUGGAUUAUUUUCGUCCACAAGCAAAACCAUGAACAAGAGUUACACUAAGAGGAGGUCACUGGGGCAGGAUGAAGACAUUGAUUUUUCUUGGACACUCCAUUUGCAGUGCUUCACCCAGCAGCCUCCCCCCUACCAGAACGGAUCUGGAUGAAUCCAAAUGAUUAACACCCUGCUUUGCUAAAGGAAGCAGAUUCUGGGGAAAGGUGUCAAAAAGGUAAAAAAUUACAGAUUGCCGAUUGGGGCAGGGUAGGAGAGAUUUUCCCCAAGGAUUAUGACGGCUUGGGCAUACGGAUAGCCUUGUCAGCCUGGACAGAUGGACAUAAAUAUUCCAAGGACAAAUUGAAGAGAGUAAAGGAGCCACUUCCAAACCCCUGCACUACUCUGGAUUCAUUUUGUGCUGGAGGAUGUGGCUCUCUUCUGAAAUACGAAAUAUUUCUUUACAUUCUGUGUGUGUGCUUGACAACCAAACAGCAAGGCUGUGUAAUAACUGACUGUACCAGCCCUACUUCCGCUAUGAAGGAUGUUGUACUGGGCUCGCUACUAAACAUCCCCCAGAAAGAUAAUGAACAUGCAUAUCCUUGAGAGUGUAUGAGAUUGUCUGUUUAUCUACCUCCUGCCAUCCUACAUCCUACACUCAGUAUUAUUUUUUCCAAAACAAGUUAUUGAUCCUAUUUUUGGAUACUUAAAAAUAGGAUCAAGAAUAUCGAGAACUUUACCAAAGUCCAGAUUGGGGUACUAAGGGGAUGUGACAGAGACAGUUGGCUGUCCGCCAGACUUGGCUCUCCCUUUCCUGGAGAGGCUCUUGGAGGCUCUACUAGAGACGACGUUUCCCAGCCCCAAUUUUAGCAGGGUGGUCAUGUGACCAAGUUCUUCUCAGUGAGGCGUGCGUAGAAGUGAUCUCUGCUGCUUCAGCAUCUGGACCAUGAGACAGUGGGCUUGCACACCCGUUUUCCACUUCCUGCAAGCUAUACACGCCUUGCCUGUGAUCUGGCUUCCACCACGCAGAUGAAGACCUGGCUCUGACAAAGUAACAGGGUGCAAGGAGGCUGAGUCUCUGAGUGAGCACCGUGAGCAGAGCUACCUGCACCCGCCAGCCUGGAUGCCCACUGCGGGGAUCUAACAAGAAAAUAGUACGCUUCCACUGUCUUUAAACAACCAUAUUUUGGAACCAAUUGGUUACACUGCCUC